This 468-nucleotide ribosomal RNA is filed under the name uncultured bacterium. RNAcentral's name for it is "partial 16S ribosomal RNA". It matches the Rfam family "Bacterial small subunit ribosomal RNA", at positions 28 to 507 of the family's 1533-position model. The record is from RNAcentral.
GACGAACGCUGGCGGCGUGCUUAACACAUGCAAGUCGAACGGAAAGGCCCUGCUUUUGUGGGGUGCUCGAGUGGCGAACGGGUGAGUAACACGUGAGUAACCUGCCCUUGACUUUGGGAUAACUUCAGGAAACUGGGGCUAAUACCGGAUAGGAGCUCCUGCUGCAUGGUGGUGGUUGGAAAGUUUCGGCGGUUGGGGAUGGACUCGCGGCUUAUCAGCUUGUUGGUGGGGUAGUGGCUUACCAAGGCUUUGACGGGUAGCCGGCCUGAGAGGGUGACCGGCCACAUGGGGACUAAGAUACGGCCCAGACUCCUACGGGAGGCAGCAGGGGGGAAUAUUGCACAAUGGGCGGAAGCCUGAUGCAGAAACGCCGCGUGCGGGAUGACGGCCUUCGGGUUGUAAACCGCUUUCGACUGUGACGAAGCGUGAGUGACGGUAAUGGGUAAAGAAGCACCGGCUAACUACGUG